GACAGAGGGUGCAAACGUUGUUCGGAAUUACUGGGCGUAAAGCGUGUGUAGGCGGUCCACUAAGUCGGAUGUGAAAGCCCUGGGCUCAACCCAGGAAGUGCACUCGAAACUGGCGGGCUAGAGUAUCGGAGAGGUUGGUGGAAUUCUCGGUGUAGAGGUGAAAUUCGUAGAUAUCGAGAGGAACACCGGUGGCGAAGGCGGCCAACUGGACGAAUACUGACGCUGAGACACGAAAGCGCGGGGAGCAAACAGG
RNAcentral lists this ribosomal RNA (253 nucleotides) under uncultured bacterium. RNAcentral's name for it is "partial 16S ribosomal RNA". It matches the Rfam family "Bacterial small subunit ribosomal RNA", at positions 524 to 776 of the family's 1533-position model. The record is from RNAcentral.